RNAcentral lists this microRNA precursor (92 nucleotides) under Otolemur garnettii (small-eared galago). RNAcentral describes it as "miRNA (ENSOGAG00000021325.2)". The record is from RNAcentral. Lineage: Eukaryota; Metazoa; Chordata; Mammalia; Primates; Galagidae.
UCCACCCACCUUGGCCUCCCAGAGUGCUAGAAUUAAAGGCAUGAGCCACCACUCCUGGCAAACUUUUGUCUAUUUUGAGGCUAGUACUCUAU